This is a long non-coding RNA of Cyprinodon tularosa, 390 nucleotides long. RefSeq lists it as uncharacterized. The transcript is spliced from 3 exons. Lineage: Eukaryota; Metazoa; Chordata; Actinopteri; Cyprinodontiformes; Cyprinodontidae. The record is from RefSeq and is a predicted model, not a curated record.
GUUAAGGUUAAACUUGAUUGUCAGUUCUGUCAUUUCUACUGGUUUGUUCUUCAUUCAUUUGAUCUCUGUUGCAUUCUUAGGUCCACUGAUUUAUUUCAUAUCAGCUACUGCAGCAGUGAGAAGAUCUACUUAUCAGACCCCCUUGAGGUUGUUGAUCUGUACAAAGUGCAAAGACAACGGAUUCUGAUUCUGCAUCAGCAUAUCGAAGCAAGAGUUCAAAAGCUGAAGGACAUCAAACAGGACGUGAAAGAAAUGAAAGAGAAAGUUAGCCAUCUGGAAGAGAAUCUAUCAAUCCAAGAAAGCGACAUAAAGCCCAGAUUUGAAAUGGAAGACAGGAGGGCUAAUAAGUUCAGAAGAGGAGUUCAACUCCAUGAGACACAGAAGACAGAA